UUAGUAACGGCGAGCGAACAGGGAAAAGCCCAGCACUGAAUCGCGCGGCCCACUGGGACGCUGCGACAUGUAGUGUUUGGGAGGAUCCACUAAUCUGCGAUCUGGUGAUGCGUCCAAGUCCUUCUUGAACGGGGCCACUUACCCAAAGAGGGUGCCAGGCCCGUAGCGACCGUUGCCAGUUGCGGAUGGAUCUCUCCUUAGAGUCGGGUUGCUUGAGAGUGCAGCCCUAAGUGGGUGGUAAACUCCAUCUAAGGCUAAAUAUAACCACGAGACCGAUAGCGAACAAGUACCGUGAGGGAAAGUUGAAAAGAACUUUGAAGAGAGAGUUCAAUAGUACGUGAAACCGUUUAAGGGUAAACCUGAGAAACCCGAAAGUUCGAACGAGGAGAUUCAGUGUGUUUCGUUAAGAGCGAGUGCUGUUUAAAGACGGUUGUCGAUUUCGGCAAUCGCUUUCUGCAUGCGCCGUAUCUUGUCGAACGCAUGCACUUCUCCUCCAGUAGGACGUCACGACCCGUUGGGUGUUGGUGUAAGGCUUGCAGUGGAGCCCGUUCGUCGGCUUCGGUCGUUCGUUCGGACCUGUGAUGUCCCGGCCAACUGCUCGACGGUAUCAAUUAGGCGCAGAGCCGCGAGACUUGUUCGCGUUCGGCCCAAUGCAAGCGUGGCCGGUAACCCGAUCGUCGGACUUGUGCCGAUCUCGGAGCCAGUCAGCUGUUUGUGUUGGUGUUCCCGAACAGACUCUGUACUCGCCUGUCUGUGACGCUAUAGCUUUGGGUACUUUCAGGACCCGUCUUGAAACACGGACCAAGGAGUCUAGCAUGUGCGCGAGUCAUUGGGACAAUCAAAUCCUAAAGGCGUAAUGAAAGUGAAGGUAGAGCUUGGCUCGACCUAAGGGAAGAUCGGUGACUUCACAGUCGCUGCGCACUCCCGGGGCGUCUCGUUCUCAUUGCGAGAAGAGGCGCACCUAGAGCGUACAUGCUGG
Molecule: ribosomal RNA, 979 nt
Filed under: Phloeopora sp. ZMUN 10008442
Lineage: Eukaryota; Metazoa; Arthropoda; Insecta; Coleoptera; Staphylinidae
Description: eukaryotic LSU rRNA
Rfam family: Eukaryotic large subunit ribosomal RNA
Source: RNAcentral